Molecule: non-coding RNA, 640 nt
Organism: Cyprinus carpio (common carp)
Lineage: Eukaryota; Metazoa; Chordata; Actinopteri; Cypriniformes; Cyprinidae
Source: the annotation of a RefSeq genome assembly
UCGUGUGGAUUUGGAAAUCCCCUUUUCCACAGUUAAAGAAUCUGCAGUGUAUUUCUGUGCUCUGCAGACCACGGUGACAGGAAAUCAAACGUUACUGUACAAAAACCUAACAGCUUGAGAUCACAUGGGUUUAUCAUGCUCAAUAUUCACUCAGUUAGGGGGAGGAGCUUCAAGCAGCUGUAAAGAUCUCAAGUGCCAUCAUAGAUGCAAGUGCCAUUUCAGCAUGAUUCUGCUCGCCACAAUUAUCCUGCUCUGUGCUGUUGGGAGUGGAAGGUUUGAGAGUCCUAUUACGUCAGACCAAACUGAGGUCUUUGAUGAGGAGGGUGCCAAUAUAACUUUAUCAUGUAGCUACUCAGCUGCAAUUAGUUUGCACUGGUAUCGCAAAUAUCCCAAAUCAGCUCCUGAAUAUCUUUUAUUAAUUCUGCAAUCCUCCGGACGGGUCCAGAGCGCAGAGAAACUGGAUUCUCGGUUUUCAGUGAGACUGAAUGAAGAGAAAAACCGUGUGGAGCUAAUCAUCUCCUCUGUCAAUGUGACAGAUUCUGCUCUGUACUACUGUGCUGUGGAGCCCACAGUGACAGGAAACCUUUACACACUGUACAAAAACGUGCAUAUACACAGUAGAAAAUACAUAGACCAAUAA